RNAcentral lists this transfer RNA (73 nucleotides) under Streptococcus pneumoniae GA13430. Its description in RNAcentral is "tRNA-Glu". It matches the Rfam family "tRNA". From Rfam's summary of the family: Transfer RNA (tRNA) molecules are approximately 80 nucleotides in length. Their secondary structure includes four short double-helical elements and three loops (D, anti-codon, and T loops). Lineage: Bacteria; Bacillati; Bacillota; Bacilli; Lactobacillales; Streptococcaceae. The record is from RNAcentral. RNAcentral also lists the same sequence under 1 other name.
GGUCCGUUGGUCAAAGGGGUUAAGACACCGCCUUUUCACGGCGGUAACACGGGUUCGAAUCCCGUACGGACUA